RNAcentral lists this transfer RNA (67 nucleotides) under Euthalia kardama. Its description in RNAcentral is "tRNA-Phe". Lineage: Eukaryota; Metazoa; Arthropoda; Insecta; Lepidoptera; Nymphalidae. RNAcentral also lists the same sequence under 1 other name. The record is from RNAcentral.
AUUUAAAUAGCUUAAAAUUAAGAGUAUAAUAUUGAAGAUAUUAGGGUGAUUAAUAAAUCUUUAAAUA